Molecule: ribosomal RNA, 497 nt
Filed under: uncultured bacterium
Lineage: Bacteria
Description: partial 16S ribosomal RNA
Rfam family: Bacterial small subunit ribosomal RNA
Source: RNAcentral
GACGAACGCUGGCGGCGUGCCUAAUACAUGCAAGUCGAGCGAUGAAGCUUGGUGCUUGCGGGGAUCUGAAGAGGAGCGAGCGGGUGAGUAACGCGAGGGGACUCUGCCUUUGAGCGGGGGACAACCAUUGGAAACGAAUGCUAAUAGCGCAUAACAACUUUAAACAUGGGGUGGAAGGGUGAAAGAUGCAAUUGCAGCACUGAAAGAUGAUCCCGCGGUGUGUUAGUUAGUUGGUGAGGUAAAGGGUCACCAAGGGGAUGAUACAUAGCCAACCUGAGAGGGUGGUCGGCCACAUUGGGACUGUGACACGGCCCAAACGCCUACGGGAGGCAGCAGUAGGGAAUCUUCGGCCAUGGGCGGAAGUCUGACCGAGCAACGCCGCGGGAGGGAAGAAGGUUUUCGGGUCGGAAAACUCGGUUGGUAGGGAAGAACGUUGGUGAGAGUGGAAAGCACAGCGAGUGACGGUAACGGCCCAGAAAGCAGCGGCUAACUACGUG